RNAcentral lists this long non-coding RNA (1607 nucleotides) under Homo sapiens (human). RNAcentral describes it as "HSALNT0253336". The record is from RNAcentral. Lineage: Eukaryota; Metazoa; Chordata; Mammalia; Primates; Hominidae.
GAAAACUGACCCUCCGUGAAAGUAAUAAACUUGCUGCUCUGAACAUCAGAUCCAUAAGCAGGAGUAACAGGUAACCUGAAGUGUCACCUCCAAGAACGGGACCCAGCCCCACAAUGAGGAAGCAAUUUAACUCUGCCUUAGCCUUGAAAAUGUGACAAAACUGAGUUGGACAGCAGUCUUGAGACACAUGGGACAAAAGGCGAGAUUCGUUCUGUCCGGGGAAAAACAAGAUUUUCAGGACAAAUGAGAGAGUGACAGAUUCAUAAAGAGAGUGACAAAUUCAUCGAUGAAGACUGCGGAGAGGAGAGGUGAGGAAGCCACAGGCAGUCAGCAGAAAGCAGUGAGCUGCUCCCUCCACAGGCCCGGCAGCGGCAGCCCCGCGAUCUCCAGGGUGGACGUCGGUACUUCAUGGCAACCUGCACUGCCAGGUGCUCCUGCCCAACUGUCGGCUAACAUUUACCCAUUCCAAGCGCACUUAAGAAAAGAAAUCUAGGGUGUUGGCUACGUUUGCUCAUGUUGAGAAUGCAAAAGGCCACUGUUUCUUAAGCGGCUCUUGCACAACAAAGAAAAACUACCUGCUCCCUGGCCCAGCUGCCUGCUUUGCUGGAGAAGGCAGGCGGGGUGGAGACUCCUCCAGGAGGUGUUUAAUAAUCUGCAAAGGUCCAGACAGCAACCCGGGGCAGACACAGCUCAAGCCAGCCAACCUGACCAUUGGAAAGAAAGGAGGAGAAUGCACACUUUCCUGGGUUCAGCUCUCUGGGGUCCCCAACACCUCCUCUUUGUGGCCAUCUUGUCCCCUGGCACCAAAGCUGAGCUCAGAGGAAAGCACCUGCCAUGAUCCACUCUGUCUCUGCCGCCUCCCUGCCCACUCCUGUGGGAAGCUCCCUCUCGGCAUCUGUCCGUCAUCAGCAUCUGUCCGUCAUCGGCAUCUGUCUGUCACGGGUCAUCUGCCGCACCACACUGAGAACCCAUGAGUGCCAAAUGUCCCCCGUCAGCUGGCCCACCCGCAUUUCAUCUUCCUGGCUUAAGAAGGUUAAAAUCACCAGAAUAAUCAGGAACUAAACAGUGAAUCUUCUCUUUCUGACCUGCCCAACUCUUAGCCUUAUUUGUGACCCCCAGAAGUCUUAACUACUUAUAUUCAAGUCUGUGUUUUCCUGAAUUAACAGUCACUCAGCAUUGAAUGGCAAACUAUUUCUCACAAAAAUUGUAUCGGUGGAAAAAAAGUGAAACUUGUUCACUACACCCUUAAGUAUCAACUGAGAAAGAAUCUGCUAAAGCCACAAACGACCAUUCUGUACAACUUUCAAUGCAUCAUUUACUGUACUAAAUUUCAAAGAACAUUCUCGAAUGCUAAAAUAAAUCAAUGCCCAAACACAGUGUCUUGUCAGCUCAUGCAAUAUAGGUUAAAUAGUACCAUAUGGCAAAGACAGACACAUGUUGCCCUUUUCUGAAACAAAAAAAUUCCUAAACAAAUGUCCUUUACUUUCACAUGGGAAGAGUGGGGGAUUAGAGAGUUCUUCAAGUGUUAAUAGCGCUGAAAAAUUUUUAAUUCUUAGCCAUUAACAAGAAAUUAUAGUUUUAAUAGAGAACCUUGAUUUUUUAAGCCU